UACGGAGGGUGCAAGCGUUAAUCGGAAUUACUGGGCGUAAAGCGCACGCAGGCGGUUUGUUAAGUCAGAUGUUAAAUCCCCGCGCUUAACGAGGGCACUGCAUUUGAAACUGGCAAGCUAGAGUAUUGUAGAGGGGGGUAGAAUUCCAGGUGUAGCGGUGAAAUGCGUAGAGAUCUGGAGGAAUACCGGUGGCGAAGGCGGCCCCCUGGACAAAGACUGACGCUCAGGUGCGAAAGCGUGGGGAGCAAACAGG
RNAcentral lists this ribosomal RNA (253 nucleotides) under uncultured bacterium. RNAcentral's name for it is "partial 16S ribosomal RNA". It matches the Rfam family "Bacterial small subunit ribosomal RNA", at positions 524 to 776 of the family's 1533-position model. The record is from RNAcentral.